RNA transcript from Thunnus maccoyii (southern bluefin tuna), 1768 nucleotides. It is a transcript of the gene named matrix metallopeptidase 23ba, with no coding region annotated. NCBI's taxonomy places the organism in Eukaryota, Metazoa, Chordata, Actinopteri, Scombriformes, Scombridae. The transcript has 7 exons. The record is from RefSeq and is a predicted model, not a curated record.
AGCCAUGGUGUGCUGUCCGGCUCCCAGAGGUUUACGAAGAGGCGGCUGGGGCUUCGCUCCUCUGCUGGCUGCCGCGCUGCUCACCCUUCUGCUCGCAGGGAUGCAACAGACCACAGCGUUUCCCUCCUGGAGGUUAGAGGAAGAAGCUUACACCACUGUGUUGCUCAUCGGGAUCCGCAAAGAGGCCCGUUCACAUGUGCUUCACCUCUCCAGGAACAAGCGCUACACCCUCACCCCGGAGCAGCUCAAAUGGGACAAGUUCAAGCUAACAUACAAGUUGCUGUCCUUCCCUACAAACUUGAUAAAUGCCAGCGACACGCGUCGAGGCAUUGCCAAGGCUUUUCUCAUGUGGAGCGAUGUCUCGCCGUUCAGCUUCAGAGAAGUGCCAGCUGACCAAGAGGCAGACAUAAAGAUCGGCUUCUACCCCGUCAACCACACAGACUGUCUGCAGUCCUACUUGCACCAUUGUUUCGACGGCAUCACAGGAGAAUUGGCUCAUGCAUUUUUCCCGCCAACAGGCGAGAUCCACUUUGACGACCACGAAUACUGGAUUCUGGGAAACAUGCGCUUCAGCUGGAAGAAAGGGGUUUGGCUGACAGACCUCGUCCACGUGGCAACGCAUGAAAUUGGCCACGUCCUGGGACUCAUGCACUCCAUGGACCCAAAAGCUAUAAUGCACCUGAAUGCAACUCUCACAGGGCGCAAGCUAAUCACACAGGAUGAAGUGUGGGGUUUGCACCGUCUCUAUGGAUGUUUGGACCGGUUUUUUAUCUGUCCAGCCUGGGCUCGGAAAGGCUAUUGCGACAGCAAGCGCAAGCUGAUGCAGAAGCACUGCCCCUCCAGCUGUGAUUUCUGUUACGGUAAGACAGAGCAGCAGCAGAAGGCAGCAGCAGUCCAAGGAAAAAAAAGUUUUCUCUCAACUGAGCAGCGCAAGGAGCUGCUGUGAACCGUUUGCCAAUGGAGCAACGGGAGCCAACAGGUCCAGCCAUGCAGAGCUGCGAUGGGGGUUUUUAAUAAUCAGAUUUUAAGGGAGAUUACACUUGCCACUGGUGGAGUUUGAGUUAAGUUUUGGGGAGCAGCAGAGUCCCCAGGGAGCCAAUGUGUGUUUUGGCCGACAACACUGACAGAGCAGAGCAGGUACCUGCAGAUAGGUGUCUCAAUGAGUGAUGCUUUACACCAAGAAUUGAUAAUACAUCAGCAAUCUGACAGCCUAAGCCUCUUUAGCUUUACUGAGGGACACACGGGUGCGGAUGUCUCCUGUUGCACAACAGGAAAUGGUUCCUCCUAACCAUCACAGCCCCAUAGAUUGUUGUGGCUUUCUGGGAUUUUUGUCAGCAACAAGGGACAGUGUGGAGAGGCAAGAGGAUACGAUUCCUGGCUCGCAGUAAUCUGUUCCUCAUUGUUGAUUGGGAGACGUUGUACGGCUGUGGAAAAUUCCUGAGUGACUCCAAACCGCUGGAAUUUCAGACUGUGGCUUGAGGGUUAGAGACACACAAGGUCAAUUUGGAUUUUUGCGGCAUUAACGAGAGCGACUGUUUUUUAAGCAGACUGUGAGAUGAUCACAAGGCGGCCUGUUGUGUUUGUCAGAAACCAGAUGGAAGAGAUUAUAUUGAUAAGACAGCCAUGACGCCUGCAGGUCAGGAGUUGUGAAAAGCAUGGGGAGUGUCCAAAGUGAUAAGAAUUCCCUUUCCCCACUGUGGCUCCCACCCCGACACCCCCGAGGACCAAACACAAGCUGGUCGUCGAGGGCAAAAAGCUUACCUUUCGU